This 485-nucleotide ribosomal RNA is filed under the name uncultured bacterium. RNAcentral's name for it is "partial 16S ribosomal RNA". It matches the Rfam family "Bacterial small subunit ribosomal RNA", at positions 30 to 506 of the family's 1533-position model. The record is from RNAcentral.
AUUGAACGCUGGCGGCAUGCCUUACACAUGCAAGUCGAACGGCAGCACGGGUGCUUGCACCUGGUGGCGAGUGGCGAACGGGUGAGUAAUACAUCGGAACAUGUCCUGUAGUGGGGGAUAGCCCGGCGAAAGCCGGAUUAAUACCGCAUACGAUCUACGGAUGAAAGCGGGGGGCCUUCGGGCCUCGCGCUAUAGGGUUGGCCGAUGGCUGAUUAGCUAGUUGGUGGGGUAAAGGCCUACCAAGGCGACGAUCAGUAGCUGGUCUGAGAGGACGACCAGCCACACUGGGACUGAGACACGGCCCAGACUCCUACGGGAGGCAGCAGUGGGGAAUUUUGGACAAUGGGCGAAAGCCUGAUCCAGCAAUGCCGCGUGUGUGAAGAAGGCCUUCGGGUUGUAAAGCACUUUUGUCCGGAAAGAAAUCCUUGGCCCUAAUACGGUCGGGGGAUGACGGUACCGGAAGAAGAAACACCGGCGAACUACGU